This 88-nucleotide transfer RNA is filed under the name bacterium. RNAcentral's name for it is "tRNA-Leu". It matches the Rfam family "tRNA". From Rfam's summary of the family: Transfer RNA (tRNA) molecules are approximately 80 nucleotides in length. Their secondary structure includes four short double-helical elements and three loops (D, anti-codon, and T loops). The record is from RNAcentral.
GCCGGAGUGGCGGAAUUGGUAGACGCAAGGGACUUAAAAUCCCUCGGGACAACCUCCUGUACCGGUUCGAGCCCGGUCUCCGGCACCA